UACGAAGGGUGCAAGCGUUACUCGGAAUUACUGGGCGUGAAGCGUGCGUAGGUGGUUGUUUAAGUCUGUUGUGAAAGCCCUGGGCUCAACCUGGGAACUGCAGUGGAAACUGGACAACUAGAGUGUGGUAGAGGGUAGCGGAAUUCCCGGUGUAGCAGUGAAAUGCGUAGAGAUCGGGAGGAACAUCCAUGGCGAAGGCAGCUACCUGGACCAACACUGACACUGAGGCACGAAAGCGUGGGGAGCAAACAGG
RNAcentral lists this ribosomal RNA (253 nucleotides) under uncultured bacterium. RNAcentral describes it as "partial 16S ribosomal RNA". It matches the Rfam family "Bacterial small subunit ribosomal RNA", at positions 524 to 776 of the family's 1533-position model. The record is from RNAcentral.